AGUCGAACGAUGAACUGGAGCUUGCUCCAGGGAUUAGUGGCGAACGGGUGAGUAACACGUGAGUAACCUGCCCUUGACUCUGGGAUAAGCGCUAGAAAUGGCGUCUAAUACCGGAUACGAGCUUCAGCCGCAUGGCUAGGAGUUGGAAAGAAUUUUGGUCAAGGAUGGACUCGCGGCCUAUCAGCUAGUUGGUGAGGUAAUGGCUCACCAAGGCGACGACGGGUAGCCGGCCUGAGAGGGUGACCGGCCACACUGGGACUGAGACACGGCCCAGACUCCUACGGGAGGCAGCAGUGGGGAAUAUUGCACAAUGGGCGAAAGCCUGAUGCAGCAACGCCGCGUGAGGGAUGACGGCCUUCGGGUUGUAAACCUCUUUUAGUAGGGAAGAAGCGAAAGUGACGGUACCUGCAGAAAAAGCACCGGCUAACUACGUGCCAGCAGCCGCGGUAAUACGUAGGGUGCAAGCGUUGUCCGGAAUUAUUGGGCGUAAAGAGCUCGUAGGCGGUUUGUCGCGUCUGCUGUGAAAUCUGGGGGCUCAACCCCCAGCCUGCAGUGGGUACGGGCAGACUAGAGUGCGGUAGGGGAGAUUGGAAUUCCUGGUGUAGCGGUGGAAUGCGCAGAUAUCAGGAGGAACACCGAUGGCGAAGGCAGAUCUCUGGGCCGUAACUGACGCUGAGGAGCGAAAGCAUGGGGAGCGAACAGGAUUAGAUACCCUGGUAGUCCAUGCCGUAAACGUUGGGAACUAGAUGUGGGGGCCAUUCCACGGUCUCCGUGUCGCAGCUAACGCAUUAAGUUCCCCGCCUGGGGAGUACGGCCGCAAGGCUAAAACUCAAAGGAAUUGACGGGGGCCCGCACAAGCGGCGGAGCAUGCGGAUUAAUUCGAUGCAACGCGAAGAACCUUACCAAGGCUUGACAUAUACCGGAAACGUCCA
RNAcentral lists this ribosomal RNA (932 nucleotides) under Frigoribacterium sp. RNAcentral's name for it is "bacterial SSU rRNA". It matches the Rfam family "Bacterial small subunit ribosomal RNA", at positions 60 to 1002 of the family's 1533-position model. Lineage: Bacteria; Bacillati; Actinomycetota; Actinomycetes; Micrococcales; Microbacteriaceae. The record is from RNAcentral.